GCCAGUAUGGUGUAGUGGUUUGAAUGCUGGACUAUGACUGGAGACCAGGGUUCGAUUCUCCGCUCAGCCA
Molecule: non-coding RNA, 70 nt
Organism: Phrynosoma platyrhinos (Desert horned lizard)
Lineage: Eukaryota; Metazoa; Chordata; Lepidosauria; Squamata; Phrynosomatidae
Source: the annotation of a GenBank genome assembly